This 215-nucleotide long non-coding RNA is filed under the name Gossypium barbadense (sea-island cotton). Its description in RNAcentral is "long non-coding RNA (GBAR_LNC009378)". The record is from RNAcentral. Lineage: Eukaryota; Viridiplantae; Streptophyta; Magnoliopsida; Malvales; Malvaceae.
UCAUCAUUUUACUCAACAUGAACAUUAUCUAGAAAUCUAAUAACUUUCAAAAUAUCAACUUAAUUUCAUCAAAAUCUUGUUCCAAAACUUUUAAAACAUCAAAAUUAUGUAAAAAGGGCUAAAUUGACUUACUAAUUAAACUUCCAAACUUUGAAAUCUCAAUUUUUCCUUUUCUCCCUUUCUUUCUUUUCUUUCCUUCCCCUACUCUCUGUUUC